Molecule: non-coding RNA, 976 nt
Organism: Pantherophis guttatus
Lineage: Eukaryota; Metazoa; Chordata; Lepidosauria; Squamata; Colubridae
Source: RefSeq, a predicted model, not a curated record
UCGAAGGGAGGGGAGGGGGAAUUGAUUGAUGAUUACCGACCGGCCCGUCUCGGAAAUGGAGAGAAACGGACCUGGGAGAGAAAAAGGGGCUCUUCUUCAAGAGAUCCCGUUGGAUCAAGAAGAGGGGGUGGAAAAGGCUUUUUAACGGUGAAGACUUUGGAUGGCAACUGCGUGCCCGAUCCACCAGGCUGGCAGCCCGAUCCCCGGGAUCUAGUAGGCCUGCCACCGAGAACAAGCUCUCAAAAGACGUUAAGGGUUUCUCCUUAAGACGUUUGAAGCGGAGACGGUGCCAGGAAUCCAGAAGGGCUUCUUCCCAGGAAAGAAAAAACAAAAACAAAAACCAGCGCCUAGGAUCGCAGCCCGGCUUUUGCCUCUCUCACCCGGCUGCCGGCACUAACAAUCAGGUCCUGGAGGGAGGCGUUGCUUAUUGGAGCCUGGAGCGGCAGAGCCUCCGGGGCUCACCGAUUUCCUGAGAGUUAAGCUUCUCAGUGGGCCAGACUCGGCUUCGACGCAGGGAGCCUUCGGGUCAGCGGGGGACUUCGAGGCCAAGGCUUCUUGCGCCCGAGAAAGCCAGCUGCACGCCUCCCAAGCCCGCGAGCGGCUGCCUUGCGUGUUCAGCAAAAUAAUAACAAUACAGACAUGACUGGUAGGUUCGCCUUGCUUGUCAAGGGAUACAGCCGCGUCUUGGAUGUGACGGUCAGUGUCAGGUGAAAUUCCAAGCUGGUCGGUCAGAAAUGGCUUGCACGUUUUGAACCUACAGGUGUGGGAGCUCGUCUGAGGAAUUUGCGAGAGGAAGAUCCCUGGCCUUAUCAAGGAAAGCAGCCGUGCUCGCCCACACAAAGCAAAGCAGGGAAUGCGAGAAUUGCUGCUAAAAAUGCGAAUCGCUCAGAGCUUUUGGCAGCUCUCUGAAGGGGAAAGACCAGCAUCUUUGUUUAUCUCCCGAGUGCUAAAUAAAGACAGAAGUGUGAAUAACUGA